This 471-nucleotide non-coding RNA is filed under the name Ancylostoma ceylanicum. RNAcentral describes it as "Eukaryotic large subunit ribosomal RNA". It matches the Rfam family "Eukaryotic large subunit ribosomal RNA", at positions 1468 to 1873 of the family's 3401-position model. Lineage: Eukaryota; Metazoa; Nematoda; Chromadorea; Rhabditida; Ancylostomatidae. The record is from Rfam by way of RNAcentral.
UACUUAAGUUCGAUCCAUGAAGACUGAAGUGGAGAAGGGUUCCACGUGAACAGUGGUUGAAUGUGGGUCAGUCGAUCCUAAGAUACUGGCUCAUGCCUUGUACCAUUGAGAGGGAAAAGUUUCUUUUCUCUCGGAUAUCAAAUGGGAAUAGGGUUAAGAUUCCCUACGGCUCUUUGAGUCUUCCUUCCCUGCGGCUGUUUGAGUCGCCUGCGCGGUAACGCAUUCGAAAUUGGUUACGUCGCUCAGAGACCGAGCUAGAGUUCUCUUCUCCAGUUAAGGAACGGACUCCCUAGAAUCGGUUCAGCCGUAGAUAGGGACAUUGUUUCCGUAAAGCAUCGCGGUUUCUGUGAGGUACCCUAUCUAUGGUAUAUCGGUCGUAACCCUACAAAAAUAGGGUGACGGUACAGAAGGAAGACUGUGUUCGUCAUCAACACCCCAAAUUGUACCUCCUUCUCCCGAAAACCCCGAGUA